This is a long non-coding RNA of Macrosteles quadrilineatus (aster leafhopper), 351 nucleotides long. RefSeq lists it as uncharacterized. The transcript is spliced from 3 exons. The record is from RefSeq and is a predicted model, not a curated record. Lineage: Eukaryota; Metazoa; Arthropoda; Insecta; Hemiptera; Cicadellidae.
AAAAAUUUGUCUCUCUUAUCAAACAUGCAGUCUUUCAUGGGACUUAGACUUAACCUGCAAUUAACUGCUUGCUUAGUUGGAUUUCUAAUAGCCUGCACUGUCUCUGCCCAAGACACUUCUGAAGGAUCAGGAGGCGGAGGUUUCUGGGAUAAAAUUAUGUCCUUCGUAGGAGCUUUGAUCAAACCUUUCAACACCAUGAUGGCCAGCAUUACAAAACUUGAUCAACUGCCAUCAAGUUAACAGAACCAAUGAGCAAGCAGGAAAAGGAAUCAGUGCCAAUGGAUGGUUCAGGUGAAAAUGUUGCCAGUUUUAUUUUAUAAAUAAAAUAACAAAUACAAGUUUUUGUAUGAA